RNAcentral lists this ribosomal RNA (424 nucleotides) under uncultured bacterium. RNAcentral describes it as "partial 16S ribosomal RNA". It matches the Rfam family "Bacterial small subunit ribosomal RNA", at positions 359 to 776 of the family's 1533-position model. The record is from RNAcentral.
AAGAUUGUACAAUGGUCGGAAGCCUGAUCCCGCCACGCCGCGUGUUUGAAGAAGGUCUUCGGUUUAUAAAGCACCUUAAUUUGGGAGGAAGGGCAGUAAGUUAAUACCUUGAUGUUUUGCCGUUACCGACAGUAUAAGCACCGGCGAACUUCCUGCCUGCAGCCGCGGUAAUACGAAGGGUGCAAGCGUUAAUCGGAAUUACUGGGCGUAAAGCGCGCGUAGGUGGUUCGUUAAGUUGGAUGUGAAAGCCCCGGGCUCAACCUGGGAACUGCAUCCAAAACUGGCGAGCUAGAGUACGGUAGAGGGUGGUGGAAUUUCCUGUGUAGCGGUGAAAUGCGUAGAUAUAGGAAGGAAAACCAGUGGCGAAGGCGACCACCUGGACUGAUACUGACACUGAGGUGCGAAAGCGUGGGGAGCAAACAGG